UUGGAGCAAGUAAUCAGUAACAUCUGCAGCCAAGUCGCCAACAAAUAUUGUGUAAUCUGGAGAAUCAUCGUGGCGUCUUUCACCAGCACUAAAACUUGCCCAAUUCAACCUGAAACUCUGCCCCCCAUUUGGCAUAAUAGCUCCAUUAUAUGUUUGGAGAAUUCUCUCUGCCGCAGCACGACUAUUAAAUUCAAUAAACCCAUAACCUUCUGAUUGACUAGUUUGCUUAUUACGAAUCACUUUGACAGAUGUAACCUACAAUCCAAUAAAAUGAGAAUUUUAUAUCACAACAAAACAGUCCUCCAUAUAAAAUACAAAAUUCAAACAAAAGGUAACCUUAAAAUAUGACCGAAAAAAAAAUCAAACUACGCUAAAAACAAAUAUCACAAAUAAAUCCGAAUUUGAACCUGCAGUGCCACAGAACUCAUACUACUAUCUAUUACUCCGCGUAUUAAUAAAUACAAUAUUCACUCAAAACAAACGUCUACUAAAAAAACUAUAUUCACGAAAACCCAAUUCAGUUACUUCAGAAAAUAACACAAAUCAACAAAAUCUUUGACCUAAAAUGCCACAAAAUCAACAAUACUGCGCGUAAAUCAUUAAAAAUGAAACUAAAAGGCAAGGACCUUUUAAAAAUCAAAAAGUGAUCGUGAUUAACGUUGAGAAAGAUAAACCCUAAUAAAUUGUGUGAAAAAACAUGCACAAGCAACAAAAAUCACCAUCAAACCAAGAAAACAAGAAGGGCUGUUAUACCUCGCCGGUAGAUGCAAAGCAGGUGUAGAGAUAGUUUUCAUCCAUCCAGUACUGCAAAUCGCCGAUCCAUAGGGUCCGGACCUCGUCAACGCUGGUGGGCUGCUGCUGCGACGAAGGCUGGGUGGAAGGAGCCCACAUGGGCGGAGGCGCCUGGGGCUGCGGCGGCAUCAUGACGUAGGGUUGCUGCUGCGGCGGCGGCUGCUGAUACUGUUGCGGUGGCUGCUGCCCCAUGGUGGGAGGAGCCA
This 998-nucleotide long non-coding RNA is filed under the name Phaseolus vulgaris (common bean). RNAcentral describes it as "long non-coding RNA (PVUL_LNC002749)". The record is from RNAcentral. Lineage: Eukaryota; Viridiplantae; Streptophyta; Magnoliopsida; Fabales; Fabaceae.